RNAcentral lists this ribosomal RNA (670 nucleotides) under Enoploctenus cyclothorax. RNAcentral's name for it is "eukaryotic LSU rRNA". The stretch from base 435 to 670 matches the Rfam family "Eukaryotic large subunit ribosomal RNA", at positions 665 to 857 of the family's 3401-position model. The record is from RNAcentral. Lineage: Eukaryota; Metazoa; Arthropoda; Arachnida; Araneae; Ctenidae.
CCGCUGAUAAUGAAGGAAGGCAAUCCCGAGACUAGGGGCCUCUGAUCCGGACCGCUUCGCCAGACGCAUUUGUCUCCCGCCCGAAAGGACGCCGCAGCCGGUCGGGCAGUUGCAAACGUGACGGCCUGAGGGGCGGACGGAGUCAGGUGACCGGUGGCGCGCCUCGCUGCGCGCCGCCGGUUGUUAGACAGUCCGCCAGUGGCCCGUCGCCCGACCGAGGUUUAACGAGGCCGCGUUGCGGCUCUCACGCCUCCUCCCGUCUUUGGACGGGAUGCCGGGACGCUCCGUCGCAGGCGCACGGCCGCCGGACCGCCGCACUCCCCCGGAGUGGGCGGACGUGACCGGUCGUCUCCGAUUGCGACGGCGUGCCCGCUCGAGGCCGGAGGCUGGCGGCGAGUAGGUCGGUCAUCCACCCGACCCGUCUUGAAACACGGACCAAGGAGUCUAACAUGUGCGCGAGUCAUUGGGUCUUGAACAAGCCCAAAGGCGCAAUGAAAGCAAAGGUCGUCCUCCGAGACGCACCGAGUUGGGAUCCCGCAUGCCCCCUCGGGGGUGGUGGCGGGCGCACCAGCGACCCGCCCUGUUCGGCCCGCCCGUUUGGGCGGAGUUCGAGCGCACACGUUGGGACCCGAAAGAUGGUGAACUAUGCCUGGACAGGACGAGGCCAGAG